Molecule: ribosomal RNA, 2034 nt
Filed under: Triticum aestivum (bread wheat)
Lineage: Eukaryota; Viridiplantae; Streptophyta; Magnoliopsida; Poales; Poaceae
Description: partial small subunit ribosomal RNA
Source: RNAcentral
AUGGCGGGCGUGCUGCUCCUCCUCAUCCUCAUGCCGGCGUCGGCGUCGGCGAUCGGGAUCGUCUGCGGCAGCGGCGGCAACUACACGGCCAACAGCACCUACCAUUCCAACCUGGCCGUGCUCAACGCCACCCUCCCCGCAAACACCUCCUCCUCCCCGCAGCUCUUCCUCACCGCUACUGCAAACGCCACGGCCAACUCGACGGCCGGCGUGGUGCGUGCGCUCGCGCUCUGCCGACACGACACCACCAACCUCACCGCGUGCAGGGAGUGCGUCGCCUCCUCCUUCAGCUACGCGCAGAAGAUGUGCCCCAACCACACGGCCGCCACCGUCUACUACGACUACGACGAGACCAACGCCUUACAACCAGGGUGCCUCCUCGGCUUCUCCGGCGACCGCGACUUCCUCAGCCCCGCGUCCGGCACCACCGGUAACGGUACCUUCUUCCAGUAUUUCAACACGGUGACGUCCAUCCCCGGCAACGCCGGCGUCGUCGCUGCCGCCGUCCGCCAGCUCCUGGGGCAGACGGCGCGCUACGCGGCCGCCGCAGCCAGGAGGUUCGCCACAGGGUUCAUGGACUCCAUUGGCCCCGGCACCACGACAACGCUCUACUCCCUGGCGCAGUGCACGCCGGACCUGUCUGCCGGCGACUGCCUGGCGUGCCUCCAGCGUCUCGUGGGCUCCAUCAACGCCACCAACUCCGUGCGCCUCGGUGGCCGGAUCUUCCGGCUCCGCUGCAACGUCAGGUUCGAAGCGUUCAUGUUCUUCGACGACAAGAACAUACAGCGGAUUCCAUCUCCAUCAUCCCUGGCUCAGGCACCGGCGCCGGCUCCGGCUCCGGCAGGCAAGAGACAUGGAGUCAAACCUUGGGUAAUCGCCUUAUCGGUGGCUGCUUCUGUGGCACUAGUUGCACUCUGUUUCAUCGUCUACUGUCUUCGGCGGCUUAGAAUAAAGAACACAAAAGGUAAAGGGAAACGUCCUCACGAGUUUCAAGAAGGAGAUGAAGUUUGGGAAAUGGAAGCAGAGCUGUCUGAGUUUGCAGUAUUUGACUUUAACCAGAUAUUAGAGGCUACUGAUAACUUUUCCGAGGAAAACAAACUUGGCGAAGGUGGAUUUGGCCCUGUUUAUAAGGGCCGCUUUCCUGAUGGAGUGGAGAUAGCAGUUAAGAGACUUGAUUCGGAUUCAGGACAAGGUUUCAUAGAGUUCAAAAAUGAAGUUGAGCUCAUAGCCAAACUGCAACACAGGAAUUUGGUUAGGCUCAUGGGAUGUUGCUCUCAAGGAGAGGAGAAAAUACUGGUCUAUGAAUACUUGCCAAACAAAAGCUUGGACUUCUUUAUCUUUGAUGAAGAUAGAAAAGCUCUAUUGGACUGGAACAAACGCAUUGCGAUAAUUGUAGGAACAGCAGAAGGACUUCUUUACCUACAUAAGCACUCUAGGUUGCGUGUUAUACAUCGUGAUCUUAAACCAAGCAACAUUCUUUUGGAUGGCGAAAUGAAUGCUAAAAUAUCAGAUUUUGGAUUAGCAAAAAUAUUCAGCUCAAAUAACACCGACACAAAUACUACAAGAAAAGUGGUUGGUACAUAUGGCUACAUGGCACCUGAGUAUGCAUCCCACGGCAUUUUCUCUAUCAAAUCGGAUGUAUUCAGCUUUGGUGUUUUAACUCUCGAGAUCGUUAGCGGGAAGAGGAAUUCCCAUGAAUGCGGAGCUUUCAUCAACCUCCUUGGACAUGCUUGGCAAUUAUUUGAAGAGGAAAGCUGGGGCGAACUCAUUGAUGCAGCAUUGGUUCCCAACAUUUAUUCGACAGAAAUGAUGAGGUGCAUUAACAUUGCAUUGUUGUGUGUACAAGAGAAUGCAGUUGAUCGACCGACCAUGUUGGAUGUAAUUGCAAUGCUAAGCAACAAGAGCAUGAUCUUACAAAAGCCUAAGCACCCAGCAUAUUUCAGCUUAAGCACGGCAGGGAACAAAGAAGCACCCACUACUACUAAGUCUUGUAGUGUAAAUGAUGUCACUAUAUCUACGGUGACGCCUAGAUAG